Small nuclear RNA from Pyrus x bretschneideri (Chinese white pear), 119 nucleotides. RefSeq annotates it as U5 spliceosomal RNA. NCBI's taxonomy places the organism in Eukaryota, Viridiplantae, Streptophyta, Magnoliopsida, Rosales, Rosaceae. The transcript has a single exon. The record is from RefSeq and is a predicted model, not a curated record.
GAGCCAUGCGUCGAGUACAAAGCGAACUAUUCUUUCGCCUUUUACUAAAGAAUACCGUGUGCUUGUCGCCACAAGUGGCAUACGCCUAUUUUUUAAGGGUUGCACCUUUGUGGGUGACC